Molecule: unclassified non-coding RNA, 340 nt
Filed under: Ascomycota sp.
Lineage: Eukaryota; Fungi; Ascomycota
Description: partial contains small subunit ribosomal RNA, internal transcribed spacer 1, and 5.8S ribosomal RNA
Rfam family: Eukaryotic small subunit ribosomal RNA (bases 1-47)
Source: RNAcentral
AAAGUCGUAACAAGGUUUUCGUAGGUGAACCUGCGGAAGGAUCAUUAAAUUAAUAUUUUUUAAUCUAAUAAAAAACUUUCUUUUGAUUUUGUUUUUUUAUCACUGGGACUUUCUUUUCUCUCUCUCUCUCUCCUCUCUCUCGGCUUUAAUUAGUUGAAAAGGGGAGGAGGAGGAAAUGAAAAAAACGGUUUUAAAUAAAACAAUCCCAAUCUUUUUAUUUUUUUUUUGGGGGCCACCUUUAACCAUUAUUUAAAAUAUUUAGUGCUUAUAAACACAUUCUAAAUUUAAUUUUUUAGUCUUAACUAUAAAAUAACUUUCAACAACGGAUCUCUAGGCUCUU